RNAcentral lists this ribosomal RNA (433 nucleotides) under uncultured bacterium. Its description in RNAcentral is "partial 16S ribosomal RNA". It matches the Rfam family "Bacterial small subunit ribosomal RNA", at positions 29 to 507 of the family's 1533-position model. The record is from RNAcentral.
AACGAACGCUGGCGGCAUGCCUAACACAUGCAAGUCGAACGAGACCUUCGGGUCUAGUGGCUCACGGGUGCGUAACGCGUGGGAACCUGCCCUUAGGCUCGGAAUAACUCCCCGACAGGGGUGCUAAUACCGGAUAAUGUCUUCGGACCAAAGAUUUAUCGCCCUUGGAUGGGCCCGCGUUGGAUUAGCUAGUUGGUAGGGUAAAAGCCUACCAAGGCGACGCUCCAUAGCUGGUCUGAGAGGCUGGUCAGCCACACUGGGACUGAGACGCGGCCCAGACUCCUACGGGAGGGAGGAGUGGGGAAUACUGGACUACGGGCGAAAGGCUGAACGAGCAAUGCCGCGUGAGUGAUGAAGGCCUGAGGGUUGUAAAGCUCGUUUACCCGGGAUGAUAAUGACAGUACCGGGAGAAUAAGCACCGGCUAACUCCGUG